UCCAUGUGUAGNGUGAAAUGCGUAGAUAUAUGGAGGAACACCGGUGGCGAAAGCGGCUCUNUGGUCUGUAACUGACGCUGAGGCUCGAAAGCGUGGGGAGCGAACAGGAUUAGAUACCCUGGUAGNCCACGCCGUAAACGAUGAGUGCUAGGUGUUGGGUCCUUUCCGGGACUCAGUGCCGCAGCUAACGCAUUAAGCACUCCGCCUGGGGAGUACGACCGCAAGGUUGAAACUCAAAGGAAUUGACGGGGGCCCGCACAAGCGGUGGAGCAUGUGGNNAAUUCGAAGCAACGCGAAGAACCUUACCAGGUCUUGACAUCCCUCUGACCGCCCUAGAGAUAGGGUUUCUCUUUUGAGCAGAGGAGACAGGUGGUGCAUGGUUGUCGUCAGCUCGUGUCGUGAGAUGUUGGGUUAAGUCCCGCAACGAGCGCAACCCCUAUUGUUAGUUGCCAUCAUUUAGUUGGGCACUCUAGCGAGACUGCCGGUAAUAAACCGGAGGAAGGUGGGGAUGACGUCAAAUCAUCAUGCCCCUUAUGACCUGGGCUACACACGUGCUACAAUGGCUGGUACAACGAGUCGCAAGUCGGUGACGGCAAGCUAAUCUCUUAAAGCCAGUCUCAGUUCGGAUUGUAGGCUGCAACUCGCCUACAUGAAGUCGGAAUCGCUAGUAAUCGCGGAUCAGCACGCCGCGGUGAAUACGUUCUCGGGCCUUGUACACACCGCCCGUCACACCACGAGAGUUUGUAACACCCGAAGUCGGUGAGGUAACCGCAAGGAGCCAGCCGCCUAAGG
This 792-nucleotide ribosomal RNA is filed under the name Streptococcus acidominimus. Its description in RNAcentral is "bacterial SSU rRNA". It matches the Rfam family "Bacterial small subunit ribosomal RNA", at positions 668 to 1462 of the family's 1533-position model. Lineage: Bacteria; Bacillati; Bacillota; Bacilli; Lactobacillales; Streptococcaceae. The record is from RNAcentral.